GCAUAUUGACUUCACGUACGCAAACUCAGUUCGCGUAUAUUUCUGGGCAGAUUCAGUUUGCAUAAUUAAAAUCAAUUGACAAAAUGAGUUUCAUUUUCACCAAAAUCAUUUUCAAUCACUUAACCCUAAAUAAACAUUGUAAUAAACAAGAAGAAGAGUGAGCUGAUGUAACUCUGAUGUAAAUUGAAGUCAAUGAAGAUGGUUGAAGAUGCUGAAAAUGGAGGAAGAAUGAUAAGAAGGUGUGGGAAGAAAUGAUGAAUAUGAGUGUGAGGUAAAAGAUGAAGAUAGAAAAAUAAGUUACGGUGGAAAAUGAAG
This 315-nucleotide long non-coding RNA is filed under the name Cicer arietinum (chickpea). RNAcentral describes it as "long non-coding RNA (CARI_LNC001644)". Lineage: Eukaryota; Viridiplantae; Streptophyta; Magnoliopsida; Fabales; Fabaceae. The record is from RNAcentral.